AUAACAAUACAGGACUCUUUCGAGGCCCUGUAAUUGGAAUGAGUACACUUUAAAUCCUUUAACGAGUAUCUAUUGGAGGGCAAGUCUGGUGCAGAGCGACUGACCCGUGCGUGCUGCAGCUGAAA
This 125-nucleotide ribosomal RNA is filed under the name Pelobates cultripes (western spadefoot toad). RNAcentral's name for it is "SSU_rRNA_eukarya". It matches the Rfam family "Eukaryotic small subunit ribosomal RNA", at positions 477 to 582 of the family's 1831-position model. The record is from RNAcentral. Lineage: Eukaryota; Metazoa; Chordata; Amphibia; Anura; Pelobatidae.